CAUGCAGUCGAACGUGAAGCCACCUUCGGGUGGUGGAAAGUGGCAGACGGGUGAGUAACGCGUGGGAACGUGCCCUUCGGUUCGGGAUAACCCAGGGAAACUUGGGCUAACACCGGAUACGCCCUUCGGGGGAAAAAUUUAUUGCCGAAGGAUCGGCCCGCGUCGGAUUAGCUUGUUGGUGGGGUAAAAGCCUACCAAGGCGACGAUCCGUAGCUGGUCUGAGAGGAUGAUCAGCCACACUGGGACUGAGACACGGCCCAGACUCCUACGGGAGGCAGCAGUGGGGAAUAUUGGACAAUGGGCGCAAGCCUGAUCCAGCCAUGCCGCGUGGGUGAAGAAGGCCUUAGGGUUGUAAAUCCCUUUCAGCGGGGAAGAUAAUGACGGUACCCGCAGAAGAAGCCCCGGCUAACUCCGUGCCAGCAGCCGCGGUAAUACGGAGGGGGCUAGCGUUGUUCGGAAUUACUGGGCGUAAAGCGCGCGUAGGCGGACCUGCAAGUCGGGGGUGAAAGCCCGAGGCUCAACCUCGGAACUGCCUUCGAUACUGCGGGUCUUGAGUCCGGGAGAGGUGAGUGGAAUUCCUAGUGUAGAGGUGAAAUUCGUAGAUAUUAGGAAGAACACCAG
Molecule: ribosomal RNA, 621 nt
Filed under: uncultured bacterium
Lineage: Bacteria
Description: bacterial SSU rRNA
Rfam family: Bacterial small subunit ribosomal RNA
Source: RNAcentral